RNAcentral lists this ribosomal RNA (384 nucleotides) under uncultured bacterium. RNAcentral's name for it is "bacterial SSU rRNA". It matches the Rfam family "Bacterial small subunit ribosomal RNA", at positions 29 to 414 of the family's 1533-position model. The record is from RNAcentral.
AUUGAACGCUGGCGGCAUGCCUUACACAUGCAAGUCGAACGGCAGCACGGGAGCAAUCCUGGUGGCGAGUGGCGAACGGGUGAGUAAUAUAUCGGAACGUGCCCGGUCGUGGGGGAUAACGUAGCGAAAGCUACGCUAAUACCGCAUACGAUCUACGGAUGAAAGCGGGGGAUCGCAAGACCUCGCGCGAUUGGAGCGGCCGAUAUCAGAUUAGGUAGUUGGUGAGGUAAAGGCUCACCAAGCCGACGAUCUGUAGCUGGUCUGAGAGGACGACCAGCCACACUGGGACUGAGACACGGCCCAGACUCCUACGGGAGGCAGCAGUGGGAAUUUUGGACAAUGGGACGCAAGCCUGAUCCAGCAAUGCCGCGUGCAGGAUGAAGG